AGACGGGGAAGAGGCAGACGGGUGAAAUAUGCAGCUCCACACUGAUGCCAACAACACACACACACACACACACACACACACACACACACAGAGUGGGUGAUAAACUCCGUCUGAACACAGGAGGGAUGGUCCAGUUUUUACAGAGCGCUUUUGUUAACAAAGGUUUCAGAAGGAAACACAGAGUCUCAAACACAAAGCUCAACGCGCUCUAUAACUGAUCCUGAGUCUGUGGAGGAGGAAAAACAACACAGCAGCCAGCAGCUCUCUGCAGUCCUGAUCAGAAUGAAUCGAUUAACUGAGAAACAACUCACUGAUCAUUAAACAUCAACUUUCUGCAGGUGAGUAGUUUUUCAGCUUUAACCCCCCCGACAUCCAUCCCAGUGUUUUCAGUGACUCUCCAGAGUUUCUGCUGCAGACGUGAUGUUUUGUUUGGAUUUUGUGAUCAGAUCAGGAACAGCGUGUCGAGGCCUGACCUGAAGACUGAGGAUUACAGUUUGGCAGCAGACACCAGCCCCCGGAGGAAAUACCAGAGUGUUUCAUUCCUGGAAAACACCUUCACUCCACAGAGACCUGGUGGAUCAAACAUUCAUUCUCUUCACACUGACAUUAGAUCAUGACUGUGGCUCCAUAACUGAACCUGAGCUGAGUCUGUUAUUGUUCAUUAGACCAACACAGUAGCAGGAAAGUCCCAACUCUGGUUUUUCUUGGCCUCAGUUCUGUGUAUCUUCAGACUCCAGGUCCAACCUGAAAUAUGUUUCUAACUCUGCUUAUUUAUCACGAGCUACUUGACUCAAAUCCUGAAGGUCCCGAUUCAGAACUGAUUAUUGAUCAGAUUAAAUUACUGAUCAGAUCUGGAUCACAGUGUCAGUGGAGGAUCUCACGACGUCUCUGUGGUUGUACAGAGUGGUCUAGUUUUGUGUGCAACUCUGAAAACCAAACCAGGUCGCACACAUUCAGCCAAUCAUGUCCUCACUCCUGAACUGGUUCAUCACCGGCAGCAGGAGGAGGAGGAGGAGGAGGAGGAGGAGGAGGAGGAGGAGGAGGAAACCGUCCGGAGCUCGAGACAGAUGUCAAGUCGGACUCGAACAUCAUCUACCCGAUAAUUCAGAAACCAGUGUUGCGUUUCUGAAGAGAGGAAAACAAAACCACAGUUGUGACAAGGAGGCGUCACAGACCACCACAGGAAGUGGUAUUCAAAUAAUCAACGACAGAGAUGGUGUGUUCCUGCCGCUGGCUGGAGGGACGGAGGAAGACUGUCUCAUAUUAACUCAAGUCAAACACUCUACUUUAACUCACACUUGACUGAAUGAUCGACCUGUGGACGAUACUUCACUGACAAUCUACAAAUACAAACUUCUUCAUUCCCACUUUGGCCUUUGCUUGUAGCUGAACUUUGUCCCUGUUGGCCACCGUACACCCUGCAGCCAGGAGCCAGUCAGAUAUAAGCAAAACAAAGAGCGUAUCAAACAGACACCUGCUUUGUUUCUUUUCCUGCUGCUCGGCUCAAACCGGAUGGCAUCUACAUGUUCCUCCACUGGACGGUUCAGUGUUCAAUAUGAGAGCUGCUGAGGCCCAGCAGAGUCUAACCAUAACAAGAGAUACUAAUAUGUGACGAUGCCGGGGGGGGGGGGGG
Long non-coding RNA from Lates calcarifer (barramundi perch), 1633 nucleotides. RefSeq lists it as uncharacterized. NCBI's taxonomy places the organism in Eukaryota, Metazoa, Chordata, Actinopteri, Centropomidae. The record is from RefSeq and is a predicted model, not a curated record. The transcript has 2 exons.